UAGGGAAUCUUCGGCAAUGGACGAAAGUCUGACCGAGCAACGCCGCGUGAGUGAAGAAGGUUUUCGGAUCGUAAAACUCUGUUGUUAGAGAAGAACAAGGACGUUAGUAACUGCACGUCCUCUGACGGUAUCUAACCAGAAAGCCACGGCUAACUACGUGCCAGCAGCCGCGGUAAUACGUAGGUGGCAAGCGUUGUCCGGAUUUAUUGGGCGUAAAGCGAGCGCAGGCGGUUUCUUAAGUCUGAUGUGAAAGCCCCCGGCUCAACCGGGGAGGGUCAUUGGAAACUGGGAGACUUGAGUGCAGAAGAGGAGGGUGGAAUUCCAUGUGUAGCGGUGAAAUGCGUAGAUAUAUGGAGGAACACCAGUGGCGAAGGCGGCUCUAUGGUCUGUAACUGACGCUGAGGCUAGAAAGCGUGGGGAGCAAACAGG
RNAcentral lists this ribosomal RNA (429 nucleotides) under Gemmatimonadota bacterium. Its description in RNAcentral is "Gemmatimonadetes bacterium partial 16S ribosomal RNA". It matches the Rfam family "Bacterial small subunit ribosomal RNA", at positions 355 to 776 of the family's 1533-position model. The record is from RNAcentral. Lineage: Bacteria; Pseudomonadati; Gemmatimonadota.